Molecule: long non-coding RNA, 1459 nt
Filed under: Homo sapiens (human)
Lineage: Eukaryota; Metazoa; Chordata; Mammalia; Primates; Hominidae
Description: non-protein coding lnc-TENM1-3:1
Source: RNAcentral
AUGACUACAGAAGAACAUAUAAAUCUCACAAAGGGCUGUAUGACCUUUGAGGACAUCGCCAUUUACUUCUCACAGGACGAGUAGGGACUGCCUGAUGAGGCUUGGAGGCUCCUAUACCUUGAAGUGAUGCUGGAGAACUUUGCACUUGUAUUUUACCCAGGAUUUUGUACAGAAAUACUGGGCGUGGUGGAGCCUGCAGCAAACUAGUUGGAAUGUGCCUCUUGUAAAAGUAGCCUCACUGGGUUGUGGGCAUGGUAAAGAGGAUGAAGAGACACCUUCUGAGCAGAAUGUUUCUGUGGGAGUGUCACAGUUUAAGGCAGGUUCAUCCACACUGAAGACUCAACCCCGGGAGAUAUAUGUUCCAUUCCUGAAAGAUAUCUUGCCUCUGGCUAAUCUCCCUGGGCGGGAACCUUACUUGGUUGGAGCACGUGCAAACCAGUACCAGCACCAGAAACAUCACAGUGCAAAGAAAUCCUUGAAGAGGGACAUGGACAGAGCCUCGUAAGUGAAGCACUGCCUUUUCCAUAUGUCAGGGAAGCCCUUCCGCAAAUGCGAGGUUGGGAAGGACCUCCCAGCCAUCUUGGGGCUUCUAGGUCCCUGGUCUUUCCUAAAACUGAGAAGCCCAACACGAUCACCAAAUGUGGAGAGGACACUCACAGUCAAAAAAGUCAUUACAAGUCAGGUCAGUGUGGGAAGGCUUCCAGGCACAAGCACUCCUGUUCACUGUCUAAGAGUUUACACUGGACAAAGCCUUUAUGAGUGUAUCAAAUGUGGGAAAGCUGGCUGGGCGCAGUGGCUUACACCUGUAAUCCCAACACUUUUCAAGGCCGAGGUGGGCGGAUCACCUGAGGUCAGGAGUUUGAGACCAGCCUGGCCAAUAUGGUGAAACCCUCUCUACUAAAAAUACAAAAAAAAAAAAAAUUAGCCAGGUGUGGUGGUGUGCACCUGUAGUCCCAGCUACUUGGGAGGCUGAGGUAGGAGAAUUGCUUGAACCCAGGAGGCAAAGGUUGCAGUGAGCUGACAUCACAUCACUGCACUCUAGCCUGGACAACAGAGUGAAAGUCUGUCUCAAAAACAAAAAACAAAACAAAACAAAAAAUGGCAAAUGUGGGGAAGCCUUCUGUGGCAAGUACUCACUUGUUUAGCACCAGAGAGUUCACACUGGAGAAAGGCCUCCAUCCUUAUUCAACAUGGGAGAAUUCAUAUUGGAGCAAGGCCUUAUGAGUGUGGCCAGCAUGGAAAGUUCUUUAGUCAAAAGUCUGGCCUUAUUCAACACCAGGUGGUUCUCACUGGAGAAAGGCCUUAUGAGUGCAACCAAUGUGGGAAUUCCUUUAGCCAGUGCGCCAGCCUCAUUCAUCACCAAAAAUGUCAUAACACGUGGAGGCCUCAUGAAUGCAGCAAAUGUGGAAGAGUGUUUACCUUCAAGAUCUAUCAUCUUUUAGCUCCUGAAAGUCCACAC